CCUAAUCGAGAUAGCGAAUAUUUGCGGUUUAGGUCUCCCUGUUGACGAUUGGCUAGAUAACGGGUGCUUCACUACAGGCCUACUGUACAUAGACCUGUGGAAUAACAGGCCUAGUUCAUCAAUUUAUUGCUGCAUCAGUAGAUACAAGGAAGUGAAGCAAAUAAAAUUUCUAUAAAAGCACAUGUUUAUACAUGCAUGGCGGAUGGUCUAUACUAUCACAAUGCACUAAAUCACUGACUGCUAUACGUAGAAGCUGUAGAUUGAUCCAGGGUGCAGGCAAAUUAUUGGAUGAUAAGCAGGUCGAUGGUUAGCUAUGAUAUCAAAUGCAGACAACAGGAAACCUACUGGGUAAGACAGAGCAAUGCAUGAUGG
Long non-coding RNA from Anneissia japonica, 372 nucleotides. RefSeq lists it as uncharacterized. The record is from RefSeq and is a predicted model, not a curated record. The transcript is spliced from 3 exons. NCBI's taxonomy places the organism in Eukaryota, Metazoa, Echinodermata, Crinoidea, Comatulida, Comatulidae.